UGCAUAUCAAUAAGCGGAGGAAAAGAAACUAACAAGGAUUCCCCUAGUAACGGCGAGUGAAGCGGGAUGAGCUCAAAUUUAAAAUCUGGCGGCCUCAGGUCGUCCGAGUUGUAGUCUAGAGAAUCGUUUUCCGCGUUGGCCUGUGUACAAGUCCCUUGGAACAGGGCGUCAUAGAGGGUGAGAAUCCCGUCCUUGACACAGAUUACCAAUGCUUUGUGAUGCGAUCUCGAAGAGUCGAGUUGUUUGGGAAUGCAGCUCAAAAUGGGUGGUAAAUUCCAUCUAAAGCUAAAUAUUGGCGAGAGACCGAUAGCGAACAAGUACCGUGAGGGAAAGAUGAAAAGCACUUUGGAAAGAGAGUUAAACAGUACGUGAAAUUGUUAAAAGGGAAACGAUUGAAGUCAGUCAUGCUUUCCGAGACUCAGCCGAUUCUGUCGGUGUACUUCUCGGUUGGCAGGCCAGCAUCAGUUUCGAUCUGUGGAAAAGGUUGGAGGGAACGUGGCAUCUCCGGAUGUGUUAUAGCCCUUCUUCGAAUACAUAGAGCGGGACUGAGGAACGCAGCGCGCCUUUUAUUAGGUUGGCCCUCGGGUACAUACGCGCUUAGGAUGCUGGCAUAAUGGCUUUAAACGACCCGUCUUGAAACACGGACCA
This 648-nucleotide ribosomal RNA is filed under the name Mrakia sp. zhenx-1. RNAcentral describes it as "eukaryotic LSU rRNA". It matches the Rfam family "Eukaryotic large subunit ribosomal RNA", at positions 37 to 668 of the family's 3401-position model. Lineage: Eukaryota; Fungi; Basidiomycota; Tremellomycetes; Cystofilobasidiales; Mrakiaceae. The record is from RNAcentral.